RNAcentral lists this ribosomal RNA (230 nucleotides) under uncultured bacterium. Its description in RNAcentral is "partial 16S ribosomal RNA". It matches the Rfam family "Bacterial small subunit ribosomal RNA", at positions 15 to 228 of the family's 1533-position model. The record is from RNAcentral.
GAUCUGGCUCAGGACGAACGCUGGCGGCGUGCUUAACACAUGCAAGUCGAACGGGGCGCUUAUGAUGGAGAUUUCGGUCAACGGAUUAAGUUGCCUAGUGGCGGACGGGUGAGUAACGCGUGAGUAACCUGCCUUUCAGAGGGGGACAACAGUUGGAAACGACUGCUAAUACCGCAUAAUAUAUAUGGACCGCAUGAUCUGUAUAUCAAAGAUUUAUCGCUGAAAGAUGG